This 237-nucleotide long non-coding RNA is filed under the name Homo sapiens (human). Its description in RNAcentral is "non-protein coding lnc-ADD3-7:1". Lineage: Eukaryota; Metazoa; Chordata; Mammalia; Primates; Hominidae. The record is from RNAcentral.
AUGGUGUCCAUCUGGCAAAGAAGAGAAAUAAGAGCCACAGAAGUUUCUGAAGACUUUCCAGCCCAAGAAGAAAAUGUGAAGUUCGAAAAUAGAUUGCCAUCUGGUUGUACCAGUAGAAGAUUAUGGAAGAUUUUGUCAUUGACAAUUGGUGGAACCAUUGCCCUUUGCAUUGGAUUUCUUACAUCUGUCUACCUUGCCACAUUACAUGAAAAUGAUUUAUGGUUUUCUAAUAUUAAG